GACGAACGCUGGCGGCGUGCCUAAUACAUGCAAGUAGAACGCUGAAGAGAGGAGCUUGCUCUUCUUGGAUGAGUUGCGAACGGGUGAGUAACGCGUAGGUAACCUGCCUUGUAGCGGGGGAUAACUAUUGGAAACGAUAGCUAAUACCGCAUAACAAUGGAUGACACAUGUCAUUUAUUUGAAAGGGGCAAUUGCUCCACUACAAGAUGGACCUGCGUUGUAUUAGCUAGUAGGUGAGGUAAUGGCUCACCUAGGCGACGAUACAUAGCCGACCUGAGAGGGUGAUCGGCUACACUGGGACUGAGACACGGCCCAGACUCCUACGGGAGGCAGCAGUAGGGAAUCUUCGGCAAUGGGGGCAACCCUGACCGAGCAACGCCGCGUGAGUGAAGAAGGUUUUCGGAUCGUAAAGCUCUGUUGUAAGUCAAGAACGGGUGUGAGAGUGGAAAGUUCACACUGUGACGGUAGCUUACCAGAAAGGGACGGCUAACUACGUG
This 497-nucleotide ribosomal RNA is filed under the name uncultured bacterium. RNAcentral's name for it is "partial 16S ribosomal RNA". It matches the Rfam family "Bacterial small subunit ribosomal RNA", at positions 28 to 507 of the family's 1533-position model. The record is from RNAcentral.